Molecule: ribosomal RNA, 476 nt
Filed under: uncultured bacterium
Lineage: Bacteria
Description: partial 16S ribosomal RNA
Rfam family: Bacterial small subunit ribosomal RNA
Source: RNAcentral
GACGAACGCUGGCGGCGUGCCUAACACAUGCAAGUCGAGCGAUGAAGCCCUUCGGGGUGGAUUAGCGGCGGACGGGUGAGUAACACGUGGGUAACCUGCCUCAAAGUGGGGGAUAGCCUUCCGAAAGGAAGAUUAAUACCGCAUAAAAUGCUUUAAUCGCAUGGUUGAAGCAUCAAACGAGUAAUCGGCUUUGAGAUGGACCCGCGGCGCAUUAGCUAGUUGGUGAGGUAACGGCCCACCAAGGCGACGAUGCGUAGCCGACCUGAGAGGGUGAUCGGCCACCUUCGAACUGAGACACGGUCCAGACGCCUACGGGAGGCAGGAGUGGGGAAUAUUGCGCAAGGGAGGUAACUCGGACGCAGCAACGCCGCGUGAAUGAUGAAGGCCUUAGGGUUGUAAAGUUCUGUCUUCUGGGACGAUAAUGACGGUACCAGAGGAGGAAGCCACGGCUAACUACGUGCCAGCAGCCGCAGUAA